RNAcentral lists this ribosomal RNA (255 nucleotides) under uncultured bacterium. RNAcentral's name for it is "partial 16S ribosomal RNA". It matches the Rfam family "Bacterial small subunit ribosomal RNA", at positions 524 to 776 of the family's 1533-position model. The record is from RNAcentral.
UACGUAGGGUGCAAGCGUUGUCCGGAAUUAUUGGGCGUAAAGGGCUCGUAGGCGGUUUGUCGCGUCGGGAGUGAAAUCCACUGGCUUAACUGGUGGCUUGCUUUCGAUACGGGCAGACUGGAGGUAUGCAGGGGAGAACGGAAUUCCUGGUGUAGCGGUGAAAUGCGCAGAUAUCAGGAGGAACACCGGUGGCGAAGGCGGUUCUCUGGGCAUGUCCUGACGCUGAGGAGCGAAAGUGUGGGGGGAGCGAACAGG